GGACGAGCAGCCGGGGUGAGCGUCGCCGCGCCGUCUCCCGCAUCCGCUCCCCGCCGGCAGGUGAGCCAGGUGGGUGGACGUCCCCGUCCCCGUCCCCGUCCCCGUCCCCGCCCCCCGCCCCCCGGACCCCCCGACCCCCCGACCCCGCCGCUCGCCACCGCGCAGGACCCGCCGCUGCCUCUGCUCGGCCGCCGCCUGCCCUCCGCCCACAGCAUCCUCGCGGGGCGCGGCGCGGCGCCCUCCCCACGCGGGCGGACCUGGGCCGCCGCCCUCGCCCCGGCCGCGCUCGCGGACUCGCCCUGGGUCGGCGGCCCCCUGCGGCCGCGCGGUGCCGGGUCGUCUCGGCCUCCCGCGCGUCCAGGCCUCCGGGUGUCCGGGUGUCCAGGCGUCCAGGUGUCUAGCUGUCCAGCUGUCCAGGCGUCCCGGUGUCCAGGCGUCCAGGUGUCCGGGUGUCUCGGUGUCCGGGUGUCCAGCUGUCCCGGUGUCCAGGCGUCCAGGCGUCUGGGUGUCCAGCUGUCAGCUGUCCCGGUGUCCAGGUAUCCGGGUGUCCAGGUGUCCGGGUGUCCCGGUGUCCGGGUGUCCGGGUGUCCAGGCGUCCAGGUGUCCGGGCGUCCAGGUGUCCGGGUGUCCGGGUGUCCAGGUGUCCGGGUGUCCAGGCGUCCGGGUGUCCGGGUGUCCAGGCCUCCGGGUGUCCGGGUGUCCAGGUGUCCGGGUGUCCAGGCGUCCAGGUGUCCGGGCGUCCAGGUGUCCGGGUGUCCGGGUGUCCAGGUGUCCGGGUGUCCAGGCGUCCGGGUGUCCGGGUGUCCAGGCCUCCGGGUGUCCGGGUGUCCAGGUGUCCGGGUGUCCAGGUGUCCAGGCGUCCAGGUGUCCGGGUGUCCAGGUGUCCGGGGCUCCGGCGGGCGCGGCGCGCGAGGGUGCGGGGCGCGGGACGGGCAGCAGGUGCAGGGGGCGCCGUGGGCACCCCGGGGCGGGCCUCUGCGGCCAGUCCAGGGGAGACGGAGAGAGGGCGAGGGCGAGGGCGAGGGCGAGGGCGAGGGCGAGGGGGCGAGGGCUGCCCACGGACGCGGGGCUCGGCUCGGCGGGGGAGGGGCGCGGAGGGGGGCGCGCGCAAGCCGGGGGCCGGGGGCCGGGGGCCGGGGGCCGGGGGCCGGGGCGGCGGGGCCGGGCGCAGGGGAGGCGGGCGGGGCCCGGGGCGGCGCGGAGGGGCGGGGUUCGCGGGCGGCGGGAGGCGGGAGGCGGGAGGCGGGCGGCGGGCGGGCGCCGGGGGAGGGCGCUGGGCAGGAAGGGGAGGGGGAGCGCGGGCGCGAGCGGCGCAGGGGCUGCGGCGGCAGGAGCGGCGGCGGCGGCAGUAGCGGCGGCGGCGGCGGCGGCGGCGGCAGCUCCCACUCGCUCCUCGCUGCGGGCUCGGCCGUCGAGCCGGGACUCAGCCUCCGCCCGCGGCCAGGCACCCGCCGGCCACGCCCGCACCCGCGCCGCUCGCGGCACCGCGCUCCCCGGGGGCACAGCACCCGAGCCGGUAAGAGGGCGCCCCGCCGCCGGGCCCCGCGCCCCUGCCCGCUGCCCCCCGCGCCUCUGCCCCGGCCUUUGUUCUCCGGACGGCGGCCUCUCCGGACGGCGGCCUCCCGGUCGGGCGUCGGGGCGCGGGGCGCGGGGCGCGGGGCGCGGGGCGCGGGGCGCGGGGCGCAGCCUGGCGCAGGGGUGGGGGGCGCGGGGCGCGGGGCCCGGGGCCGGGGGGCGCGCGGCGGGGACCUGCCGGAGCGCCGCGGGGCCGCGGGAGCGGAUGUCACCGGCCGGGGAGGGGGCGCGGGGCGCGCGGGGCGCGCGGGGCGCGGGGCGGAGAGCGGGGCGCGGCCCCCGGGCCAGGGGCGGGCUUGCUGGGGGCUCCCGUGGGCGCCCCGGGGAGGCCGCGGGGGGCGCGGCGGGUGCGGCCGACAGGCGGGGGGACUGCGGGCCCCGGGUGGGUGCGCCCCGCGGCCCUCGGGGAAGACUCGCCGAGCGCCCGCCUCCCCGGAGACGCCGCCGCCCCGGGCGGGCCUCGAACCCGCGCCGCCCGCGCGACCGCCCCGCGGAGGAGGGCGCGGCGCCCACGGGUGCAGCCUGGCGCCCAGCCUGGGGCGGACCCCGUCGGGCUCCCGCGGGGCCGGCGGCGGGGGGGGGGGGGGGCGGGGGCCUCGCGGGGUCGCCCCGGGGCUCGGGGGCCGGGCGCUGCGGGCCGAAUGA
RNAcentral lists this long non-coding RNA (2220 nucleotides) under Canis lupus familiaris (dog). RNAcentral describes it as "lncRNA (ENSCAFG00845003337.1)". Lineage: Eukaryota; Metazoa; Chordata; Mammalia; Carnivora; Canidae. The record is from RNAcentral.